RNAcentral lists this ribosomal RNA (570 nucleotides) under uncultured bacterium. RNAcentral's name for it is "partial 16S ribosomal RNA". It matches the Rfam family "Bacterial small subunit ribosomal RNA", at positions 355 to 1376 of the family's 1533-position model. The record is from RNAcentral.
UUAGGAAUCUUCCGCAAUGGACGGAAGUCUGACGGAGCGACGCCGCUUGGAGGAGGAAGCCCUUCGGGGUGUAAACUCCUGAACUGGGGACGAAAGCCCUGUGUAGGGGGAUGGCGGUACCCAGGUAAUAGCGCCGGCCAACUCCGUGCCAGCAGCCGCGGUAAUACGGAGGGCGCGAGCGUUACCCGGAUUUACUGGGCGUAAAGGGCGUGUAGGCGGCCUGGGGCGUCCCAUGUGAAAGGCCACGGCUCAACCGUGGAGGAGCGUGGGAUACGCUCAGGCUAGAGGGUGGGAGAGGGUGGUGGAAUUCCCGGAGUAGCGGUGAAAUGCGCAGAUACCGGGAGGAACGCCGAUGGCGGAGGCAGCCACCUGGUCCACUUCUGACGCUGAGGCGCGAAAGCGUGGGGAGCAAACCGGAUUAGAUACCCGGGUAGUCCACGCCCUAAACGAUGCGCGCUAGGCCUCUGGGUUUAUCUGGGGGCCGAAGCCAACGCGUUAAGCGCGCCGCCUGGGGAGUACGGCCGCAAGGCUGAAACUCAAAUGAAUUGACGGGGUCAUAGCUGUUUCCUG